AAAGCGCUCCUGGGAGGCCUCCUGCUCCUGGCCACCUUCAUAACUUUAUGCAGUUCUCUGUGUUUUUGGAUUAAGAAAGAAUAUUUUGAUUUAGUUCCCGCACGUGGAUGUGAGGAUCAGGAAGGACGCUGGAAUCCACUGUUCUCAACGUGGGAAACAUCGCACUGUGAGGUGUGCACUUGCAAAAUUCAGGAGAUACAUUGCUGCACCAAAGCUGCUUUACCUGUGAAUUAUGACACAAAUAAGUGUCGUAUCAUCUUGCAUCCUGGUAACUGCACCUACUCUGUAGUGGAACGUCAGGACCCACGAAAGCACUGUGCCUUUUCUUCAGAAUGACAUAAUGUCCUUCCUGUGGAUCCAAUGAUCUUGGAGCAGGACUCUCCCUCCUGUGGCCU
Cavia porcellus (domestic guinea pig) is the source of this 395-nucleotide long non-coding RNA. RefSeq lists it as uncharacterized. Lineage: Eukaryota; Metazoa; Chordata; Mammalia; Rodentia; Caviidae. The record is from RefSeq and is a predicted model, not a curated record. The transcript is spliced from 3 exons.